UAGUUUAGAGAUUGAGCCUGGGUCAGAUUGAAGGCGGCCGGCAGGCCUCACACAAGCAAGUCGAGCGGACGACGGGAGCUUUCUCCGGGAUUCAGCGGCGGACGGGUGAGUAAUGUCUAGGAAUCUGCCCGGUAGUGGGGGACAACGUUUGGAAAGGAACGCUAAUACCGCAUACGUCCUCAGGGAGAAAGCAGGGGACCUUCGGGCCUCACACCAUCAGAUGAGCCCAGGUGGGAUUAGCUAGUUGGUGAGGUAAUGGCUCACCAAGGCGACGAUCCCUAACUGGUCUGAGAGGAUGAUCAGUCACACUGGAACUGAGACACGGUCCAGACUCCUACGGGAGGCAGCAGUGGGGAAUAUUGGACAAUGGGCGAAAGCCUGAUCCAGCCAUGCCGCGUGUAUGAAGAAGGUCUUCGGAUUGUAAAGCACUUCAAGUUGGGAGGAAGGGUUGUAGAUAAUACUCCGCAAGA
This 470-nucleotide ribosomal RNA is filed under the name Pseudomonas lutea. RNAcentral's name for it is "bacterial SSU rRNA". It matches the Rfam family "Bacterial small subunit ribosomal RNA", at positions 1 to 472 of the family's 1533-position model. The record is from RNAcentral. Lineage: Bacteria; Pseudomonadati; Pseudomonadota; Gammaproteobacteria; Pseudomonadales; Pseudomonadaceae.